This 468-nucleotide ribosomal RNA is filed under the name uncultured bacterium. Its description in RNAcentral is "partial 16S ribosomal RNA". It matches the Rfam family "Bacterial small subunit ribosomal RNA", at positions 28 to 507 of the family's 1533-position model. The record is from RNAcentral.
GACGAACGCUGGCGGCGUGCUUAACACAUGCAAGUCGAACGGAAAGGCUCUGCUUUUGUGGGGUGCUCGAGUGGCGAACGGGUGAGUAACACGUGAGUAACCUGCCCUUGACUUUGGGAUAACUUCAGGAAACUGGGGCUAAUACUGGAUAGGAGCUCCUGCUGCAUGGUGGGGGUUGGAAAUUUUCGGAGGUUGGGGAUGGACCCGCGGCUUAACAGCCUGUUGGUGGGGUAGCGGCUAACCAAGGCAUUGGCGGGUAGCCGGCCUGAGAGGGUGACCGGCCCCAGUGGGACUGAGAUACGGCCCAGACUCCUACGGGAGGCAGCAGUGGGGAAUAGUGCACAAUGGGCGGAAGCCUGAUGCAGCAACGCCGGGUGCGGGAUGACGGCCUUCGGGUUGUAAACCGCUUUCGCCUGUGACGAAGUGUGAGUGACGGUAAUGGGUAAAGAAGCACCGGCUAACUACGUG